UGAGCACGGCAUAACACCAGGACAUGGAAGACAUGGAGGCACAAGUUUCCUUCUGCAUGUAUAUUUCCACCUAAUGUGUGUGACACAGUAUGUGUCUAGAUAUCUGCGCGUGUGUGUCCUUAGCCAUUGAAACGACUGUAGAUUGUAGACGAGCAACAGGCUGACAAAGAAAGUAAACAAGGACAGAUUGGACUCUUUACAAGUAUCCUACCUGUGCGUGUCAUUGCCGGAGUAGUUCCAGUCGAUCUCAACGGCGGCGAUGUAAUAGUGUCUCUCCCUGGAUGGGUGCUGGUCCCCUUUGACAUGGAGGACAGUCAGAAGAACCAGGACGGGCAGGAGACCGCCAGCUCCAGCCCAGGCACAGAGCCUCAUUUCUGGGAUCAAUCCGUCAGUUGCAGUUGUCUUACAGUUCUCAUUAUGCAGGAGUCAGUUGUCAGCCUUACCUCACCUGCAGUUCAUCCAGGGUGACAUAUCACCAGACACAUCCUGUCUCCCCUGGACUGGCCUAUACAGCACCACAGGACUACAGUCACACACUACAUAGCCGCUGGGUGAAGUUAGUCUUAACACAAGCGGCUACAGUGGAGCCAGUUUUACAUUCUUUAUAGCAAUAUAUCCCAUUUUAUACCUUGAUCAUAUGUCAUGUGGAUAGUCUGUCUGCAGUGUGACUAUAGCUGUCGAAUGAACGUAGUGGAGUAAAAACUACAACGUUUCUCUCUGAAUUUUAGUGAAGAAAGAUGGAUGCUUAAGUAAAGUACAAGCACCUCAAACCUGUAUAUUACUGAGUAAAUAUAUUUAGUUACUCUCCACCGCUGUGUAUAAAUAAAUGGACUUGACAUGCACCAUUCUGCCUUGGGUUUCAUGUACAUUAAGGGAUGAUUCAAAAAAAAAAAAGAAUAGAUUGGUGAUUGAUUUAUGAAGAAAUUACAGCUGGUCAUUUUUCUGGUUCUACUGUAAAAGCUUCAGGAAAGUGUCCCCACAUGUCAGCGGCCCCGGGGUUUCACCGCACAACAAAUGCUGGACACUCAGAUGAAGCACAAAAACAUGAGAACAAAUCAGAGGACAACAACAACAACAUUAGAGCAACACGGUGAACUUUCAGAAAACCGUAUUAAAAGCUCCCGCAGCAAUGUUUUAGCAAACAUGACCCUACAGGAUACGUGACGCAUGCGACACUGUGACACGCCG
This is a long non-coding RNA of Xiphias gladius (swordfish), 1188 nucleotides long. RefSeq lists it as uncharacterized. Lineage: Eukaryota; Metazoa; Chordata; Actinopteri; Istiophoriformes; Xiphiidae. The record is from RefSeq and is a predicted model, not a curated record. The transcript has 3 exons.